Molecule: ribosomal RNA, 511 nt
Filed under: uncultured bacterium
Lineage: Bacteria
Description: bacterial SSU rRNA
Rfam family: Bacterial small subunit ribosomal RNA
Source: RNAcentral
AACGAACGCUGGCGGCGUGCUUAACACAUGCAAGUCGAACGCGAAAGGGGACUUCGGUCCUGAGUAAAGUGGCGCACGGGUGAGUAACGCGUAGAUAACCUGUCUUCAUGUCUGGAAUAAUACGCCGAAAGGGGUACUAAUACCGGAUAUUCUUGCUUUUCAUAAGUUAUGCAAGCAAAGGUGGCCUCUGCAUAUGCUACUGCAUGAAGAGGGGUCUGCGUACCAUUAGCUAGUAGGUGGGGUAAUGGCCUACCUAGGCGACGAUGGUUAGCGGGUCUGAGAGGAUGAUCCGCCACACUGGCACUGGAACACGGGCCAGACUCCUACGGGAGGCAGCAGUGAGGAAUAUUGCGCAAUGGGGGAAACCCUGACGCAGCGACGCCGCGUGAGUGAGGAAGGCCUUCGGGUCGUAAAGCUCUGUCAAGAGGAAAGAAGUGUACAAUGGCUAAUACCUGUUGUAUUUGACGGUACCUCUAAAGGAAGCACCGGCUAACUCCGUGCCAGCCGCGGC